GAAUGUGCCAGGGUCAAGUCUGCACUGAUUUUCAUGGUGAAUAGAUUACAUGCUUGCAUUCAUGUUCACUUCCGAAGCGCUUAGUGUCUUCCUUCCCUCCCUUACAUAUUAACCUCAAAUACCCCGUGCGGCUCCAGCCAAGCCUCGCCAGAGGUACUUAGCAAUAUUGGAUUCCC
This 176-nucleotide long non-coding RNA is filed under the name Numida meleagris (helmeted guineafowl). RNAcentral describes it as "HOXA11 antisense RNA 1 conserved region 2 (ENSNMEG00000007779.1)". It matches the Rfam family "HOXA11 antisense RNA 1 conserved region 2". The record is from RNAcentral. Lineage: Eukaryota; Metazoa; Chordata; Aves; Galliformes; Numididae.